This 313-nucleotide ribosomal RNA is filed under the name uncultured Catenulostroma. RNAcentral describes it as "partial large subunit ribosomal RNA". It matches the Rfam family "Eukaryotic large subunit ribosomal RNA", at positions 40 to 350 of the family's 3401-position model. Lineage: Eukaryota; Fungi; Ascomycota; Dothideomycetes; Mycosphaerellales; Teratosphaeriaceae. The record is from RNAcentral.
AUAUCAAUAAGCGGAGGAAAAGAAACCAACAGGGAUUGCCUCAGUAACGGCGAGUGAAGCGGCAACAGCUCAAAUUUGAAAUCUGGCUCUUUUAGAGCCCGAGUUGUAAUUUGUAGAGGAUGCUUCGGCGUCGGCUCCGGUCUAAGUUCCUUGGAACAGGACGUCACAGAGGGUGAGAAUCCCGUAUGUGAUCGGUUGCCUUUGCCAUGUGAGGCUCCUUCGACGAGUCGAGUUGUUUGGGAAUGCAGCUCUAAAUGGGAGGUAAAUUUCUUCUAAAGCUAAAUACCGGCCAGAGACCGAUAGCGCACAAGUA